UGCAGUGGUGAGAUAGGAUAAAACCUUGA
This 29-nucleotide non-coding RNA is filed under the name Homo sapiens (human). The record is from RNAcentral. Lineage: Eukaryota; Metazoa; Chordata; Mammalia; Primates; Hominidae.